This 864-nucleotide unclassified non-coding RNA is filed under the name uncultured soil eukaryote. RNAcentral's name for it is "sequence contains 18S rRNA gene, ITS1, 5.8S rRNA gene, ITS2, 28S rRNA gene". The stretch from base 447 to 864 matches the Rfam family "Eukaryotic large subunit ribosomal RNA", at positions 1 to 418 of the family's 3401-position model. The record is from RNAcentral.
GGAAGGAUCAUUCACACGUUGAAAUCCAAAUCUAGUGAACCCUACCUGUUGUUUCUGUGCGCAAGCACUUUCAUCACCUAUUCUGUUGUUAAAACCAAAAACUUUAACAACUUUUAGCGAUGGAUGUCUUGGCUCCCACCUCGAUGAAGGACGCAGCGAAAUGCGAUACGCAAUGUGAAUUGCAGAAUUCAGUGAAUCAUUAGACUGCUGAACGCAUACUGCACUCGUGGGAUAUGCCUGCGAGUAUGCCUGCCUCAGUGUCUCCGAAUCCUCCUAAUACAAUCUUCCUGAUCAUUCUUUCGAGAAUGAGCUCGUAAGGCUGUAUUGUUAUCAGCGUUACGACUUCGUAUCGCUGCAAGUACUUGUCUGUUCAGCUUUAAGCAAUGUAGUGUAACACACAACCAUUGUUUUGAGUUGAAAUAACAGACCAAGCAACUUUCUAAACAAGACCUGAGAUCAGACAAGAUUACCCGCUGAAUUUAAGCAUAUAAUUAAGCGGAGGAAAAGAAACUAACCAGGAUUCCCUUAGUAAUGGCGAAUGAACAGGGAAGAGCUCAAAAUGAAAAUCAGGGGCAUCAGCUUCUGAAUUGUAGUCUCUAGAGACGUCACCAGUGGAGUCGCAGGGAUAAGUCUCUUGGAAAAGAGCAUCAGAGAGGGUGAGAAUCCCGUUCUUGCUCUGCAGAACUCCACGUACGGUGCGUUUUCAACGAGUCGCGUUCCUUGGGACUGGAGCGCUAAGUGGGUGGUAAAUUUCAUCUAAAGCUAAAUAUUUGUGGGAGACCGAUAGCGAACAAGUACCGUGAGGGAAAGAUGAAAAGGACUUUGAAAAGAGAGUUAAAAGUGCCUGAAAUCGCUAAAAGGGAA